This 1745-nucleotide small RNA is filed under the name Pongo abelii (Sumatran orangutan). Its description in RNAcentral is "processed transcript". The record is from RNAcentral. Lineage: Eukaryota; Metazoa; Chordata; Mammalia; Primates; Hominidae.
UUGUCAAGCCCAGAGACAGAUGUGGAGAGGGACGUCUUCCUGUAUAGAGCGUACCUUGCGCAGAGGAAGUUCGGCGUGGUCCUGGACGAGAUCAAGCCCUCCUCGGCCCCUGAGCUCCAGGCUGUGCGCAUGUUCGCUGACUACCUCGCCCAUGAGAGCCGGAGGUGAGGCCCCGGAGAAUGGGUUGGCCUGGGGCGCGGGGCCUUCUCCAAGGCCUGUUGGUUAUGAACCUGGGUGGGCGGGGGCAUGGCGUGCAGCGCACAGCAUCCCUCAGAUUAGGCGCGUCUCCCCUCUGCUCCUUGCUGCUUUGUGCCUCAGUUUCCCUCACCUGCACAGCAGUGGGGGCUGGUGAUGGGUCCUGCUUCAAAGAGGAGGGUCAGAGACAGUGCUGUGUGUGCACACGCCCUCAUGGACCACAAGGCACUCUCUGAACCUAGAACUGAAAAUACCAAUUACCGAGCAGCCCUCUGCACCACCCAGAGCCCCAAGAUAGCCCAGGGCGCAGCGGGGGCAGGGCCCUCCCAUCAGUUUUCUUAUUUAUUUACUUAGAGACAGAGUCUCACUCUCCUGGGUGGCAGAGCCAGACCCUGUCUCAUACACAAAAAAGAAAAUAAAUAGGGAUGUCACGCUGUCAGCAAGCCGGCGGACUCGGUGCUGGUCCAGGUGCUGGCUCCUGUUGGCGGGAAAACAAGAACAAGAGGCCUCACGAGUAAUUCGUGGUCACAGCCGCCUGGGGCUGAGAGGGAUGAGGGGAUGAGGGGACCUGCAGAGAGUGGGUGGCCCCAGGGCUCUGGUGCAGGGGUGGGUGUGUGGCCCUCCGCUAGGGCCUUGUUCCUGAGUGUCAACCGCCUCCUGGGUGUUGAGUCCGGGCAGGGCCCUCCAUCUGCAAGCACAGCCCAUGGAGGCUGCUUCUCCAGAUAGGCAGUGAGUGGGCCGGGGCCUGGAACCCUGUCCUCGGUACCCGCCCACAGCUCCCAGGCCCGAGGAAGCUGAGUGGUGAAAUAUGGGAGUGAGGGUGUCCCCCUCUGCUGGGGGGUGCUGGUGGUCCUAAGCACAGGACUUAGGAACAUCCCAGACACACACAGUGAGCCCUGGGUGUGGAGCGGCCAGGCAAUGUGUCUGUGGCCACCCGCUGACCGCCCCCUGGCCCUGUCCUGCAGCACAGCCAUGACAGUACAGAUCCUGCUGAAGCUAGACCGCCUGGACCUCGCCCGGAAGGAGCUGAAGAGAAUGCAGGACCUGGACGAGGAUGCCACCCUCACCCAGCUCGCCACUGCCUGGGUCAGCCUGGCCACGGGCGGUGAGAAGCUGCAGGAUGCCUACUACAUCUUCCAGGAGAUGGCUGACAAGUGCUCGCCCACCCUGCUGCUGCUCAAUGGGCAGGCAGCCUGCCACAUGGCCCAGGGCCGCUGGGAGGCCGCCGAGGGCCUGCUGCAGGAGGCGCUAGACAAGGAUAGUGGCUACCCGGAGACGCUGGUCAACCUCAUCGUCCUGUCCCAGCACCUGGGCAAGCCCCCUGAGGUGACAAACCGAUACCUGUCCCAGCUGAAGGACGCCCACAGGUCCCAUCCCUUCAUCAAGGAGUACCAGGCCAAGGAGAACGACUUUGACAGGCUGGUGCUACAGUACGCUCCCAGCGCCUGAGGCUGGCUCAGAGCUGUCAGGACCACGAAGCCAGGACAGAGGCCAGGAGCCCUGCAGCCCUUCCCACCUGGCAUCCACCCCUCUGGGGGCAGGAGCCCACC